Molecule: long non-coding RNA, 682 nt
Organism: Vicia villosa (hairy vetch)
Lineage: Eukaryota; Viridiplantae; Streptophyta; Magnoliopsida; Fabales; Fabaceae
Exons: 4
Source: RefSeq, a predicted model, not a curated record
UUCUCUUUCUUCUUUUAUUAUUUUAUAUUGUCUUUUUUUCUUUUGACUGAAUCUGCCAAAAAUCUUUUGCUUUCUCAAAACGUCCAUUCAACUGUUCCCUUACCCCAACCAAGAAAUUUUUCUUUCAAACGUCGCUUCAUAUGAUUAAACAUGUUACUGCAUCUUUAUCUUCCUUCUGCAACCACAUCAACCAUUCAACAACUAAGAGUAUAGAUAAGCAACAACAAAAUUGAAAAGGAUGGGAAGAAGAAAGGAAGAACAUCAAGGCUUUUUUUCUUCUGGUCAGAUCUGACCCGAUGGCCCUGACAUUUUUUCGAUUGGAAACAAAUUCAAGAGGAGCUGAAAAGAUGGUACCUUCAAGAUGUGUGGUGUACAAAUUGAGUGAAUCAUUCUCAUAAUUCCCAGUAACAAGUGGAUGAUAUAUGGAGAAAUAUUUAUUAUAUUUAUUAAACAUUGAAUAUUUAUUAUAUUUAUUAUAUAUAAUCAAUCUGGUGUAUGUAAUAUAUAUUUAACAUAAUGAGUUAUAUGUAUUAUAUUCAAAUUGGAAGAUCAUAAAACCAAUUUGAUAUAUGUAUUAUAUAUAUAUAUAAAUAUUGAAUGAAAUCUAUUUAUUUAUUUUUCUUCUUAAAAUAUAAGUUACUCAGAUUAUUGAAAUGUUUUUGGUUUAAAUUCUUUAAUUAUU